This 134-nucleotide small nucleolar RNA is filed under the name Chinchilla lanigera (long-tailed chinchilla). RNAcentral's name for it is "Small nucleolar RNA SNORA40 (ENSCLAG00000018668.1)". The stretch from base 19 to 134 matches the Rfam family "Small nucleolar RNA SNORA40". Rfam says of the family: The snoRNA ACA 40 belongs to the H/ACA family of snoRNAs and guides the pseudouridylation of 28S rRNA subunit at position U4565. NB This family has a high threshold value to exclude a large number of closely related sequences that do not appear to have conserved H and ACA boxes, and may be pseudogenes. Lineage: Eukaryota; Metazoa; Chordata; Mammalia; Rodentia; Chinchillidae. The record is from RNAcentral.
AAAAGUUAACUCAGCCCUUGCAUGCUUUUAAGUUGUAGACAAAGACUGACAGAUAACUACAAAACAUAAAUUCUCUUUUGCAACCCAGAGCUUAUUAUUCAGUAUGAGUUCGGAUACAUAUGAGAAGGCAUGUG